GGAGAACGCCGGCCAUUCAAAUAGUAAAUAAUAGAGGGUCAGCUUGCUGAUGAGGCGCUUCGGCGCCGAAACACCGUGUC
Molecule: unclassified non-coding RNA, 80 nt
Filed under: synthetic construct
Source: RNAcentral